UACGUAGGGAGCAAGCGUUGUUCGGAUUUACUGGGCGUAAAGGGCGCGUAGGCGGCGCGGUAAGUCACUUGUGAAAUCUCUGAGCUUAACUCAGAACGGCCAAGUGAUACUGCAGUGCUAGAGUGCAGAAGGGGCAAUCGGAAUUCUUGGUGUAGCGGUGAAAUGCGUAGAUAUCUGGAGGAAUACCGGUGGCGAAGGCGGCAUCCUGGACCGACAUUGACGCUGAUGAGCGAAAGCCAGGGGAGCAAACGGG
This 253-nucleotide ribosomal RNA is filed under the name uncultured bacterium. RNAcentral's name for it is "partial 16S ribosomal RNA". It matches the Rfam family "Bacterial small subunit ribosomal RNA", at positions 524 to 776 of the family's 1533-position model. The record is from RNAcentral.